GAGUUUGAUCGUGGCUCAGAUUGAACGCUGGCGGCAUGCCUUACACAUGCAAGUCGAACGGUAACAGGUCUUCGGAUGCUGACGAGUGGCGAACGGGUGAGUAAUACAUCGGAACGUGCCCGAUCGUGGGGGAUAACGAAGCGAAAGCUUUGCUAAUACCGCAUAAGAUCUACGGAUGAAAGCAGGGGACCGCAAGGCCUUGCGCGAACGGAGCGGCCGAUGGCAGAUUAGGUAGUUGGUGGGAUAAAAGCUUACCAAGCCGACGAUCUGUAGCUGGUCUGAGAGGACGACCAGCCACACUGGGACUGAGACACGGCCCAGACUCCUACGGGAGGCAGCAGUGGGGAAUUUUGGACAAUGGGCGAAAGCCUGAUCCAGCCAUGCCGCGUGCAGGAUG
Molecule: ribosomal RNA, 397 nt
Filed under: uncultured microorganism
Description: bacterial SSU rRNA
Rfam family: Bacterial small subunit ribosomal RNA
Source: RNAcentral